Molecule: ribosomal RNA, 605 nt
Filed under: uncultured delta proteobacterium
Lineage: Bacteria; Deltaproteobacteria
Description: bacterial SSU rRNA
Rfam family: Bacterial small subunit ribosomal RNA
Source: RNAcentral
ACGUAGCUGCAGUCGACGAUUCCUACGGGAGGCAGCAGUGGGGGAUAUUGCGCAAUGGGCGAAAGCCUGACGCAGCGACGUCGCGUGGGUGAUGAAGGCCCUCGGGUCGUAAAGCCCUGUCGAGGGGGAAGAAACGGUCGAGACCCAAUACGUCUCGACCUUGACGGUACCCCUAAAGGAAGCACCGGCUAACUCCGUGCCAGCAGCCGCGGUAAUACGGAGGGUGCGAGCGUUGUUCGGAAUCACUGGGCGUAAAGCGCGUGCAGGCGGCUCGGUAAGUCUGGUGUGAAAGCCCGGGGCUCAACCCCGGAAGUGCACUGGAUACUGCCGAGCUCGAGUCCCGGAGAGGAGGGUGGAAUUCCUGGUGUAGCGGUGAAAUGCGUAGAUAUCAGGAGGAACACCGGCGGCGAAGGCGGCCCUCUGGACGGUGACUGACGCUGAGACGCGAAAGCGUGGGGAGCGAACAGGAUUAGAUACCCUGGUAGUCCACGCUGUAAACGAUGAUGACUCGAUGUUGGCGAUAUACCGUCAGCGUCCUAGCGAAAGCGUUAAGUCAUCCACCUGGGGAGUACGCUGGCAACAGUGAAACUCAAAGGAAUUGACGG